This 292-nucleotide ribosomal RNA is filed under the name uncultured Bacteroidota bacterium. Its description in RNAcentral is "uncultured Bacteroidetes bacterium partial 16S ribosomal RNA". The record is from RNAcentral. Lineage: Bacteria; Pseudomonadati; Bacteroidota.
GGACUACCAGGGUUUCUAAUCCUGUUUGAUCCCCACGCUUUCGUGCCUCAGCGUCAAUAAUUGUGUAGCCAGCUGCCUUCGCAAUCGGUGUUCUAUGUCAUAUCUAAGCAUUUCACCGCUACAUGACAUAUUCCGCUAACCUCCACAACAUUCAAGACUUAUAGUAUCCAUGGCAGUUUCCGAGUUAAGCUCAGAGAUUUCACCACGGACUUACAAGUCCGCCUACGCACCCUUUAAACCCAGUGAAUCCGGAUAACGCUUGCACCCUCCGUAUUACCGCGGCUGCUGGCAC